AGUUCGGUUUUCGAAUCGAAGACACGUGAUUCAUUUGGAAUGAAAUUCCUGCCGAUAAUCGGGAAUCGAUGCUGGCGAGGAUGAGCUCCGGUGAACAGGUUAUCGGGCUAGUUAAAAUGUGAUUUAUCGGCUGCAGGGUUACACUGAAUAGAGGAUAUAUCUGAAGGAAAUGAAAUGUUGGGGCCCCUUUCGAGAACUAGAAUUAAGGAGAUAUUGAAUGGUUAAACGUCCUGGACGAGCCUGCAACCUCUUAACACAAAAGGGAAAUACCUAGUUCAAUGAGUGAUUGACUGCUUCAAAUGUUUAUGUUAAGCACUCACUAAGCCAUAAUGGUAAAUGAAAGACAUGCUAUAUUAAAUCUUGCUGAAAACUAAAAAAGGAAAGGAUGAAAAAUGGUAACAACCGGACAACGUGAAAGUUGGCACGCGCGAUGACCGUCCACGCGUAAGGUAAACGGUUAUUAUACAGAUUAGGGGUGUCGAGGAUCAGAUAUCCGGGGCAUUUAAUAACGCUGUUCCUGUCAAAACACUCACCGUAGUCAACUGAGGGUAUAAUGCAGAUAAAUUGCUCCAUGGAGAACGAUCGAGAGGGGCAGCACGGCGAAAAAAAGAGACGAAAGAUGAGCUAAGGAGGAGAGAAACUGCGCACGAGCGACACAGGCGGGGGUGACCCCCUUCGACCCUCGUCUCGGCUAUUAUUUGUUACCAUCAGUAGAUCGCAUAGGGGUGUUUUAAUAUGGACCCGACGCGGCGCCCAGACCAAAGAUUUGCGCGUAACUGUGCAAACAGCGGGAGAUCCCCGGCCACGGACCCGUGAAACUAGCAACGGGAAGAUAAUAUCAGUGGUGAGAGUUUCCAGAGAUACCGUUGCGAAUCCAUUUUGAUCGCUUCGAAGUUCCGAUGAAAAGAUCCAUCUUGACCAUUGGCCACGAUCUUCAAUGAUAUUUGGACAACUUCAGUCGGCUAUAGUUUAGUCAAAGGAAUGUUAGAUUUUAGGUUUGUGUUAAAGGUAAUUUUUAAGGUUAGGAAAUAGUGUUUGGUUUUUGAAUCAAUAAAUUAUCACUCCACAGACACAUUAAUUAAAGAGAAAUGAAGUUACAAUAUCUAUAAGAAACAAAAUAUAACUGUGAAAGUAUACAUGUAUUAAGAAUUUCAUUUCUUUCGAUUAUUGUUUAAGAUACAACUAUUUCGACAAUUUCACUUUGGGUAAAUAAAAUAAAAGGUUCACACUGCAUAUAUGUAAAAACACAUUAAUAUUAAUAUCGUGUAUAUAUGGUAUAAAUAUAACACAUUAAUAUCGUGCACGAUGCUGCAAGAUUCCGUAAUGUGCCACAACCGAUCUGGCUUCUGCCUCGUUCCGCCUGUGGCGCCUCGCUCGGUGAUCUAUUAAUUUAAAAUGCGUGUACAUUUCAACAAUAUGAGCAAAUUAAAGAAUAAUUCCUGAUCUGUAAUAUAAUAAGGCGCGUAAUUUAAUUUAAUUUAAGUUUGUUUUCUUAGUUGCGAACUUUUUUUGGAAGUAGGUACUGUUACAUUAGCGAAACAUAGAUUUUAAAAAUAAGUUAAUAGUUUUAGUCUAAAAUUUUAACUUAAAACAGAAGAUUAUAAAACAUGAAUGAUAUCUAAACGAUACAUAUAAAAAAAGUAGAUGAAAUAAAGUGAAACAUAUUAAUAAGAAUUUAAUUAAAAUUUAUUUCAACUAUUUUCAACAUGAAAAAUGUACGAAUCGUUCUUUUCAGUGUCAAUGAUUGCCAACCUGAUUUAACGCACAAAGAGUUUUUGCAAUUUUCGCAUAGGUACUAAUUAAACUAAUAUGCUCUACGAAUUUGUUUGAUUUCUUCUUUUGCAGAUACAUUGUUUGAUUCACAUUGUGGCUGCCGACAUACGAUUUGAAAAAUUUUUACGUUGAACCGUAAAUAAAUAGCUUGUUUGAGACUGAGAAAUUUACUAUUCUUUAAUUUGUAUAUAUACAUGCUAUGAACAUUUAUAUCCAAUCGUUACUUAACAAUCCAGUGAAAAGGAAAUAACGAAACAGCAAACACAGAAGAAACAAUUGUAACUAAAUAAAUCUCAAAAGGAUUGAAAAAUUACAAUUCUUUAAUUUCUAUACGAACAAUGUCUAUACAUAGCUUGUUUAUGAACAUUUAUAUGUAAUCGUUACCUAACAAUCUAGCAAAAAGAAAGGGGCCUAGAAAGUAAUUAAAAAAGAAAAGAACACAACGUAACUCAGCCUCUCUCAAAACGAGCGUCCACGCAGCGAAACGUUCGGCUGGAUUCCCGUUUUUGUUAAAAAAUCUCGCGUAGGUGGGAUGAGUUCAAUGCGUUCAUCUAUUUUUCAUUCCGACCGGUCCGGAACCGAUCCGCUGACAAUCGGUGAUCACAGCUUUUCAGAUGGCUUGGAAAAGUUCGAAUCGGGCUGGCCGAAGAAUUGCGCGACGCACCAAAAAUAUUCAAUGGACGAAAAAAAAGCCGGUGAUUACACGCUGGCAUCAUUGUGACAGGGUUCGAUCUUUACAAAUUUCUCGAAACAAUGGCCGAACCCCGGAGACCGUGGAUUUCCACUUUGACGUCAGUUUUGACCAAAUAUUUGCCGAACGGAAUGGAAGUCGCAUGGCCAACCGGUACCAUUGAUCGAUUCUUUAUUUCGCUCUCGUCCUCCAUUUAUCGGCACCGCUUUUUUCCACCGAUUUCCCAUAUCGUUCUUUUCCUCUUCUUGAUAUUGUUAAUCUGGACAACUACGCCCAAUACCGAGAAAAGAUAGCCUGAUCGAAACAGUGAUGCCGCUACUGUCUUUAAUCAUGUUUAGUGUCGAAACUAUAACAAAAAAUUACAACACAAUAGAGCUUCAGGUACUCGCAUUAAUAUUAGUAAAGAACACAAUCUUUAUCACGCAUGUAUCUUGCGCAUACUCAGCAUGUAUGUGAAUCACUCUCGAAGUAAAGUAGGAGUGCUCUU
Long non-coding RNA from Hylaeus anthracinus, 2951 nucleotides. RefSeq lists it as uncharacterized. The transcript is spliced from 3 exons. The record is from RefSeq and is a predicted model, not a curated record. NCBI's taxonomy places the organism in Eukaryota, Metazoa, Arthropoda, Insecta, Hymenoptera, Colletidae.